UGCAAGUCGAGCGGCAGCGCGGGGGCAACCCUGGCGGCGAGCGGCGAACGGGUGGUAACAUGUCGGAACGUACCCUGACGUGGGGGAUAACACAUCGAAAGAUGUGCUAAUACCGCAUACGACCUGAGGGUGAAAGCGGGGGACCGAAAGGCCUCGCGCGACAGGAGCGGCCGAUAUCGGAUUAGCUAGUUGGUGGGGUAAAGGCUCACCAAGGCGACGAUCCGUAGCUGGUCUGAGAGGAUGACCAGCCGCACUGGAACUGAGACACGGUCCAGACUCCUACGGGAGGCAGCAGUGGGGAAUUUUGGACAAUGGGGGCAACCCUGAUCCAGCCAUUCCGCGUGAGUGAAGAAGGCCUUCGGGUUGUAAAGCUCUUUCGGCAGGAACGAAACGGCGGGCUCUAACAUAGUCUGUCAAUGACGGUACCUGAAGAAGAAGCACCGGCUAACUACGUGCCAGCAGCCGCGGUAAUACGUAGGGUGCGAGCGUUAAUCGGAAUUACUGGGCGUAAAGCGUGCGCAGGCGGUUUCGUAAGACAGAUGUGAAAUCCCCGGGCUUAACCUGGGAACUGCGUUUGUGACUGCGAGACUUGAGUGUGGCAGAGGGGGGUGGAAUUCCACGUGUAGCAGUGAAAUGCGUAGAGAUGUGGAGGAACACCGAUGGCGAAGGCAGCCCCUUGGGUUAACACUGACGCUCAUGCACGAAAGCGUGGGGAGCAAACAGGAUUAGAUACCCUGGUAGUCCACGCCCUAAACGAUGCGAACUAGGUGUUGGAGAAGGAGACUUCUUUAGUACCGUAGCUAACGCGUGAAGUUCGCCGCCUGGGGAGUACGGUCGCAAGAUUAAAACUCAAAGGAAUUGACGGGGACCCGCACAAGCGGUGGAUGAUGUGGAUUAAUUCGAUGCAACGCGA
This 913-nucleotide ribosomal RNA is filed under the name uncultured bacterium. Its description in RNAcentral is "bacterial SSU rRNA". It matches the Rfam family "Bacterial small subunit ribosomal RNA", at positions 56 to 964 of the family's 1533-position model. The record is from RNAcentral.